Molecule: ribosomal RNA, 372 nt
Filed under: uncultured organism
Description: partial 16S ribosomal RNA
Rfam family: Bacterial small subunit ribosomal RNA
Source: RNAcentral
GUAGGUGGCAAGCGUUGUCCGGAAUUAUUGGGCGUAAAGCGCGCGCAGGCGGUUCUUUAAGUCUGAUGUGAAAGCCCACGGGAUCAACCGUGGAGGGUCAUUGGAAACUGGAGAACUUGAGUACAGAAGAGGAAAGCGGAAUUCCACGUGUAGCGGUGAAAUGCGUAGAGAUGUGGAGGAACACCAGUGGCGAAGGCGGCUUUCUGGUCUGUAACUGACGCUGAGGCGCGAAAGCGUGGGGAGCAAACAGGAUUAGAUACCCUGGUAGUCCACGCCGUAAACGAUGAGUGCUAAGUGUUAGGGGGUUUCCGCCCCUUAGUGCUGCAGCUAACGCAUUAAGCACUCCGCCUGGGGAGUACGGCCGCAAGGCUG